GAUGAACGCUAGCAGGAGGCUUAAUACAUGCAAGUCGAGCGGGAUCCACCUUUCGGGGUGGUGAGAGCGGCGCACGGGUGAGUAACGCGUACACGACCUACCUCUGACAAGGGGAUAGCCCUGGGAAACUGGGAUUAAUACCCUAUACGAUUCCGGAUAAUAAAGGUCUGGAAUGAAAGCUCCGGCGGUCAGAGAUGGGUGUGCGUCUGAUUAGCUAGUUGGUAGGGUAACGGCCUACCAAGGCGAUGAUCAGUAGGGGCGUGAGAGCGUGGUCCCCCACACGGGUACUGAGACACGGACCCGACUCCUACGGGAGGCAGCAGUAAGGAAUAUUGGUCAAUGGGCGCAAGCCUGAACCAGCAAUGCCG
This 368-nucleotide ribosomal RNA is filed under the name uncultured bacterium. Its description in RNAcentral is "bacterial SSU rRNA". It matches the Rfam family "Bacterial small subunit ribosomal RNA", at positions 28 to 399 of the family's 1533-position model. The record is from RNAcentral.